This 1287-nucleotide long non-coding RNA is filed under the name Scophthalmus maximus (turbot). RNAcentral's name for it is "lncRNA (ENSSMAG00000023180.1)". The record is from RNAcentral. Lineage: Eukaryota; Metazoa; Chordata; Actinopteri; Pleuronectiformes; Scophthalmidae.
AUGAGAGAGACCCGGGGGAGAGGUGACGAUCCCCAGCGAGGCUGCACAGAUCGGCGAGGGCGGCGACGGACCGAGGGAGGAGUUGUGGGAUCAGCGGGGGUGAAGCGCGCCCCAGUUCACCCGAAUAUUCAGAGUUCGACUCAGACAGAACCGACAUUUAAAGUUCCCAUCUCGCCCGCCUCACUUUCCAUCUGGUCCAAACGGGUGGGGCCGGGCUGGGCUGGGGGCCGGCCUGUGGAGGUGCGUUGGGGGCCUCGGGGAACGGAGCCGCCGCUGAGAUGCUCAUUGCUUCAUUGGGAUUCUCACUGGAUCCAAUCACACUGUCAAGCUUGGAUGGGAGGCCUGUCUCCUCAGUAAGUGGAUACAGCAAACACACACACACACACACACACACACACACACACACACACACACACACAGAGUUUUGAACAUCACUUACGCACACACAGACGGAGACAGACACGUACAGUGCCCACGUACUCGUGCACCUCGCUCUGCCUCCCUGACGCUCUCGACUGCAGAGCAACAGUGAAGCUGUGUUCGUGGCUUGCAGCUCAGGCUCACUCCUGUAUCAUGCAGCCCAGUCUUAUCUACUGAGGGGAAACAAACCUAUACCUCCCUUUCUGUUUUUGUUCCACUAGAGUGAAAACCCCUUUGACAGAUACGGUAGCAUCACGCUGUAGUGUGCCAGUAAACACCAUUAAAAACAUCCAGUGGAUUCCCUUUGCUAAAUUGCUCACAAUUCCAGUAGAUUGUGUUGCUUACACUGCCCGACCUGGUCCCUAGGUGGCACUGUGUCCACUGGGCCAGAGAGGGGCCCCGCUGUUUAUCAUGCGGCUGUGACGGCCCCUGUAAAAAAGCUUUUGCCAGUGCAACCGGAGAUUUAGAAGCCAGAUUAGCACAUUCAUAUUUUGGCAGUUAAUUAGGGGCUGAGGAGCUAAGUGAAAGCUCUGGCUGCCGAGUGAUGGAGCGGAAGAAUGAGAGGAGGUGUGCCCUCUUCACACGAAGACACAAAGUGAAUUAAGUGCACACACAGAAACACACACACACACACACAUACACAUAUAUAUAUGUGUAUAUAUAUAUAUAUGUAUAUAUAUAUAUACAUAUAUGUGUGUGUAUAUAUAUAUGUAUAUAUAUAUAUAUAUAUAUAUAUAUGUGUGUGUGUAUAUAUAUAUAUGUAUAUGUGUAUAUUUAUAUAUGUAUGUAUAUAUAUAUGUAUAUAUGUAUAUAUAUGUAUAUAUAUACACACACACUUGACUGGUCUGCUAUUAGUGUGUCACUGUG